AGCCAUUAUGUCCAAAAGGAGAAGAAGAAUAAAGCCUGUAGAUGAUGCAAAGACAUAUAUUCUGUCUUGCACUGACAAGUCUGGAUUUAUGUCAAGACUUGUAGACAGUUGCAUAGGUAAGUGGUAGAAGGUUCCAUGACACAACUUAUGGAUUUCAAACGCAAAACAGAAUAGCCUUUAUUGUCAUUGUACUGUGGAGGUACAACGAAAUUUAGGGUGCUCCUAGUGAAGUGGAUACAACGACAGGGGAGAGUUUAUUUGCAUUUCAGGUUAUGUGUGGCCUUUUGCAUCUGUCAGAGAAUUUCAAUCAGACUGAUAGAAAUAAAUGUAAAUAUUUUACAGUCCAGGCAAGAUAGUCAGAGUGCUUUGUUAAAAUAUUCUACCGAAGUGUCCAUUGAAGUAGAGGCCAUUGCUGUGGUAUUAGCCUAACGGCGGUUAAGGCCUCUGUUUGAAAAUUGCAUACCCAUAAUGAAAUGAGUAUAUCUCUGCAACUACAAGGUCUAUUUGAAUACUUGUGGUGUCAUUGUAAAGGGAACACAUUGAGAAUUUGUUGAGAUCUGUAAAUAUCAGUAUAGGUGUUACUGGUGAAGAGUAAAUGAAGAUAGGACACAGCACAAACAAAAUUAAUUUCAGGAUCGCCUAAAAAAACUAUUUAGGAUGAGUAUCCUUUAGAAUGAUGCAGCCCUAGCGCUGAACCUCUAUCAAGUCAUAGUACAAUCUAUGGACAUUAUCUUUGCAAAGUUUGAUUCUGGGCUGUUACAUGUUUUUUAAGAGACACAAAUGCCAUAUACUAAACUAUUUUACAAAUUACAAUAAAAUAAUCACUGUACUAACAGUUUCUUCGUAUUUUAUGUCUUGUAUUUUUUAAUGAAGUUCUUUCUUUGUCUAGAUGUCAGUAUGCCAGGAGAACGGGUCAGAAGAUGAGGUCAGCAUGACAUCACAAGUCCAAAACCAAAGUUUGUCUGCAAGAAAGAGAGGUAAGCAAGCUGCUGUGAAACACUGGACACCCGAGGAAAUUGAUGCAGUAGAGAAACAUCUAAAGAAGCUCAUUGUAAGACGAGAUGUUCCAGGUAAGGCGGACUGUGAGCGCUGCAUUUCUGCAGAACCGCAAGCACUGCAAAAAAGAGACUGGUAAUCAGUCAAAUAUUUCAUCAAGAAUAGAAUAACUUCCAUGAGAAGAAAACUACAAUGAAAACACACGUUUUCAGUUUGCAACACUUUUUUUUUCAAGGCGGAAAUGUGCUGUAGUUUGUUAGUAUUCUGUAUUCAUUGUUUUCCUCUAAUCAUUGUUGUCGUUUUGUGUAAAAUGUGGUCUGAUCACCGACUUUUUCACAAAAUAAAUACAUGGUACCUCAGGAUAACUUGUUGAAAGCAUUGUAUUUGUUGUUAGCCUAAUAGCAUAGCUGCCUCAAGUCUUAUUUUAAGUUUUUUUUGCAAGAUAAUGCACGGUGAAUCAGCAGUUUUAGGAGAAUAGAACUAGGCUAAUGUAUGCAAUAUGAAAAACUGUGCUUACAGUUAACUCCAGGGUGGAAUAAAAAGGAAAAAAACUGUUAACUCAAAAUUAGAUCUUGGGGCUGAUUAAUUUGAAAUGGUUGUGCUGGUACUGAAAAUCAUUAUUUGAUUACCAUGCUACUACCCUGUCUUCCUGUUGAUGGUCUUUUGUGAAGAUGAUAGCACAUACAGUAGUUAAUGAGCUUACAAGGCGAUGUGAAUUUGCAGGUGUAAAGGGAAAAGAGAUGGAAUGAAGGAAGAAGAUGAUUUAAUUUGAAAUAUAGAUCCUUGAUGCAGUCAGUGUCUAUGUGCAGUAGAAACCAUUAAUGGGCCCCAGAUAGUAACCGAACACCCCGCAAAGAUACAAAAACAAGGAAUGUGUGUGUGUGUGUGUGUGUGUGACACUGGACCUCACAAGUACUGUAUGUUAGAAACGGGCCCCACAAGUGACCAAAAAACGUACAUGGAGA
Scophthalmus maximus (turbot) is the source of this 1961-nucleotide long non-coding RNA. The record is from Ensembl. NCBI's taxonomy places the organism in Eukaryota, Metazoa, Chordata, Actinopteri, Pleuronectiformes, Scophthalmidae.